UAAAGGAAGCGAUUCCGGCUACGGAUGGUCAUGCGUCGCAUUAGCUAGUUGGCGGGGUAACGGCCCACCAAGGCGACGAUGCGUAGGGGUUCUGAGAGGAAGGUCCCCCACACUGGUACUGAGACACGGACCAGACUCCUACGGGAGGCAGCAGUGAGGAAUAUUGGUCAAUGGCCGCAGGGCUGAACCAGCCAAGUCGCGUGAGGGAUGACGGUCCUAUGGAUUGUAAACCUCUUUUGUCAGGGAGCAAAGGGCGCCACGUGUGGCGCUUUGCGAGUACCUGAAGAAAAAGCAUCGGCUAACUCCGUGCCAACAGCCGCGGUAAUACGGAGGAUGCGAGCGUUAUCCGGAUUUAUUGGGUUUAAAGGGUGCGCAGGCGGAAUGUCAAGUCAGCGGUAAAAUUUCGGGGCUCAACCCCGUCGUGCCGUUGAAACUGGCGUUCUUGAGUGAGCGAGAAGUAUGCGGAAUGCGUGGUGUAGCGGUGAAAUGCAUAGAUAUCACGCAGAACUCCGAUUGCGAAGGCAGCAUACCGGCGCUCAACUGACGCUCAUGCACGAAAGCGUGGGUAUCGAACAGGAUUAGAUACCCUGGUAGUCCACGCAGUAAACGAUGAAUACUAACUGUCCGGGCAGAAUGAUGCCUGG
RNAcentral lists this ribosomal RNA (644 nucleotides) under uncultured bacterium. Its description in RNAcentral is "bacterial SSU rRNA". It matches the Rfam family "Bacterial small subunit ribosomal RNA", at positions 202 to 842 of the family's 1533-position model. The record is from RNAcentral.